This 465-nucleotide ribosomal RNA is filed under the name uncultured bacterium. RNAcentral describes it as "partial 16S ribosomal RNA". It matches the Rfam family "Bacterial small subunit ribosomal RNA", at positions 28 to 507 of the family's 1533-position model. The record is from RNAcentral.
GACGAACGCUGGCGGCGUGCUUAACACAUGCGAGUCGAGCGGUAAGGCCCCUACGGGGGUACACGAGCGGCGAACGGGGGAGUAACACGUGAGCAAUCUGCCCAUCACAUCUGGAUAACUCCGGGAAACCGAAGCUAAUACCGAAUACGACCACCACCGCCAUCGGAUGGUGGUGGAAAGUUCCGGCGGUGAUGGAUGAGCUCGCGGCCGAUCAGCUUGUUGGUGGGGUAACGGGACACCAACCCUCCGACGGAUAGCCGGCCGGGGAAGGGGACCGGCCACCCUGGGACUGAGACAGGGAGCAGACUCGAACGGGAGGCAGCAGUGGGAAGCAUUGUACAAUGGGCGCGAGCCUGAUCCAACGACGCCGCGUGAGUGAUGACGGCCUUCGGGUUGUAAACCUCUUUCAGCAGGGACGAAGCGCAAGUGACGGUACCUGCAGAAGAAGCACCGGCCAACUACGUG